Molecule: ribosomal RNA, 258 nt
Filed under: uncultured bacterium
Lineage: Bacteria
Description: partial 16S ribosomal RNA
Rfam family: Bacterial small subunit ribosomal RNA
Source: RNAcentral
CAGGUACAGAGGGCAGCUACCCAGCGAUGGGAUGCGAAUCUCGAAAGCCUGUCUCAGUUCGGAUUGGAGGCUGAAACCCGCCUCCAUGAAGUUGGAUUCGCUAGUAAUCGCGCAUCAGCCAUGGCGCGGUGAAUACGUUCCCGGGCCUUGUACACACCGCCCGUCAAGCCAUGGAAGCUGGGGGUGCCUGAAGUUCGUGACCGGAAGGAGCGACCUAGGGCAAAACCGGUGACUGGGGCUAAGUCGUAACAAGGUAAC